GACGAACGCUGGCGGCGUGCCUAAUACAUGCAAGUUGAGCGCUGAAGGUUGGUCCUUGUACCAACUGGAUGAGCAGCGCACGGGUGAGUAACGCGUGGGGAAUCUGCCUUUGAGCGGGGGACAACAUUUGGAAACGAAUGCUAAUACCGCAUAAAAACUUUAAACACAAGUUUUAAGUUUGAAAGAUGCAAUUGCAUCACUCAAAGAUGAUCCCGCGUUGUAUUAGCUAGUUGGUGAGGUAAAGGCUCACCAAGGCGAUGAUACAUAGCCGACCUGAGAGGGUGAUCGGCCACAUUGGGACUGAGACACGGCCCAAACUCCUACGGGAGGCAGCAGUAGGGAAUCUUCGGCAAUGGACGAAAGUCUGACCGAGCAACGCCGCGUGAGUGAAGAAGGUUUUCGGAUCGUAAAACUCUGUUGGUAGAGAAGAACGUUGGUGAGAGUGGAAAGCUCAUCAAGUGACGGUAACUACCCAGAAAGGGACGGCUAACUACGUG
Molecule: ribosomal RNA, 497 nt
Filed under: uncultured bacterium
Lineage: Bacteria
Description: partial 16S ribosomal RNA
Rfam family: Bacterial small subunit ribosomal RNA
Source: RNAcentral